CCAAUAGCGUAUAUUAAAGUUGUUGCAGUUAAAAAGCUCGUAGUUGAAUUUCGAGACCGGUCUACUGGUCGUGCUUUUGUACGUACUGGUAUAAUCGGUUUCUCUCUUCUGAUGAACUAUAAUGCCAUUAAUUUGGUAUUUUAGGGAAUCAGGACUGUUACUUUGAAAAAAUUAGAGUGUUUAAAGCAGGCUCACGCUUG
This 200-nucleotide ribosomal RNA is filed under the name uncultured Glomus. RNAcentral's name for it is "partial small subunit ribosomal RNA". It matches the Rfam family "Eukaryotic small subunit ribosomal RNA", at positions 591 to 797 of the family's 1831-position model. Lineage: Eukaryota; Fungi; Glomeromycota; Glomeromycetes; Glomerales; Glomeraceae. The record is from RNAcentral.